RNAcentral lists this ribosomal RNA (261 nucleotides) under uncultured archaeon. RNAcentral describes it as "partial 16S ribosomal RNA". It matches the Rfam family "Archaeal small subunit ribosomal RNA", at positions 748 to 1009 of the family's 1478-position model. The record is from RNAcentral.
AGGGUGUAAACGCUGCAGGCUUGGUGUUGGGGGUCCUUUGAGGGCGCCCAGUGCCGGAGAGAAGUUGUUAAGCCUGCUGCUUGGGGAGUACGUCCGCAAGGAUGAAACUUAAAGGAAUUGGCGGGGGAGCACCACAACGGGUGGAGCCUGCGGUUUAAUUGGACUCAACGCCGAAAAACUCACCAGGAGCGACGGAUAUAUGAAGGUCAAGCUGAUGACUUUACCUGAUUUUCCGAGAGGAGGUGCAUGGCGUAGUCGUGU